AGAGUUUGAUCCUGGCUCAGAUUGAACGCUGGCGGCAUGCUCAACACAUGCAAGUCGAACGGUAACAGGCCUUCGGGCGCUGACGAGUGGCGGACGGGUGAGUAAUGCGUGGGAAUCUGCCUUAUGGCUGGGGACAACCAGUGGAAACGCUGGCUAAUACCGAAUACCGUCUACGGACGAAAGCGGGGGAUCUUCGGACCUCGCACCAUAAGAUGAGCCCACGUCUGAUUAGCUAGUUGGUGAGGUAAUUGCUCACCAAGGCGACGAUCAGUAGCCGGCCUGAGAGGGUGGACGGCCACACUGGGACUGAGACACGGCCCAGACUCCUACGGGAGGCAGCAGUGGGGAAUAUUGGACAAUGGGCGCAAGCCUGAUCCAGCAAUGCCGCGUGUGUGAAGAAGGCCUUCGGGUUGUAAAGCACUUUUGUUAGGGAGGAAAGUCUGGUAGCUAAUAACUGCUAGAUCUGACGUACCUAAAGAAU
This 481-nucleotide ribosomal RNA is filed under the name uncultured bacterium. RNAcentral's name for it is "bacterial SSU rRNA". It matches the Rfam family "Bacterial small subunit ribosomal RNA", at positions 8 to 487 of the family's 1533-position model. The record is from RNAcentral.